Non-coding RNA from Podarcis lilfordi (Lilford's wall lizard), 77 nucleotides. The record is from the annotation of a GenBank genome assembly. Lineage: Eukaryota; Metazoa; Chordata; Lepidosauria; Squamata; Lacertidae.
GCACGGACGGAAAGCGCAGUUGGUAGAGCGUGAGAUUCUUCAUCUCAAGGUUGUGGGUUUGAAUCUUGCGUUGGGCA